UGCCGGUUUACUAAUUAAAACACAUCGCAGCCUGGGCGUUCAAAAUUGGAAGCUCGUACCUAAUCGAUACUUCCGUACCGAAUUUCAUAAUCUCUAUUCGGAAGACAACCACAAAUGGAAUUACCUACUGGAGUUACUGGAUCGGUAGAAACGCCAAUAUGGUCAAGUAGGUCACCGUAUUAAACAAUCAUAGAGAAUUCUUGCCAGGUUGCAAGCAUGUGCGCUAAGAAAAUUAUAAGCCAACCUCUUCAGAAGUGAAAGUGACAAGUGAAAGCGCUACAUAUUUGUCAUUACCGUAAUUUGGCAAACAAAACCAUAAACACAUAGCCAGAAUAAUUAAAAGUGCGGCUAAUCGAUUUAUUGGGUGUUAAAUAAUUGCACUGUUGAACUUUGAAGCGGUUGCGGGUUGCGUCAAGAACCUAGAAGGGUAGAGCAAACUAGAACUAGGACAGGGGCAUACAUCAGGAUAUGAUCUGAAACAAUCCGCACGAUACAAUAUUAUAACGAAAUUGCAUAAUUCGAGGCUAAUGUUGUUAAUCAUUACGAAAAAUAAUUAAAUUCCUUUCGUUACA
Long non-coding RNA from Photinus pyralis (common eastern firefly), 572 nucleotides. RefSeq lists it as uncharacterized. Lineage: Eukaryota; Metazoa; Arthropoda; Insecta; Coleoptera; Lampyridae. The record is from RefSeq and is a predicted model, not a curated record. The transcript has 2 exons.